This 305-nucleotide ribosomal RNA is filed under the name uncultured bacterium. Its description in RNAcentral is "bacterial SSU rRNA". It matches the Rfam family "Bacterial small subunit ribosomal RNA", at positions 335 to 658 of the family's 1533-position model. The record is from RNAcentral.
UGCCUACGGGGGGCAGCAGUGGGGGAUAUUGCACAAUGGGGGGAACCCUGAUGCAGCGACGCCGCGUGGGCGAUGGAGUACUUCGGUAUGUAAAGCCCUAUCCGCAGGGAAGAAAAUGACGGUACCUGACUAAGAAGCCCCGGCUAACUACGUGCCAGCAGCCGCGGUAAUACGUAGGGGGCAAGCGUUAUCCGGAUUUACUGGGUGUAAAGGGAGCGUAGACGGCUGUGCAAGUCUGAAGUGAAAGCCCAGGGCUCAACCCUGGGACUGCUUUGGAAACUGUGGAGCUAGAGUGCUGGAGAGGU